CCUACGGGAGGCAGCAGUAGGGAAUUUUCGUCAAUGGGCGCAAGCCUGAACGAGCAAUGCCGCGUGAACGAGGCAGGUCUUCGGAUCGUAAAGUUCUGUUGAAGGGGAAAAAGAGCGGAGAGAGGAAAUGAACUCCGAUUGAUAUUACCCUUCGAGGAAGUCACGGCUAACUACGUGCCAGCAGCCGCGGUAAUACGUAGGUGGCGAGCGUUACCCGGAGUGAUUGGGCGUAAAGGGUGCGUAGGCGGCCUGCUAAGUCUGGAGUGAAAGGUACCGGCUCAACCGGGAUAGGCUGUGGAAACUGGCAGCCUUGAGUACAGUUGAGGUAGGCGGAAUGCGUGGUGUAGCGGUGAAAUGCUUAGAUAUCACGAAGAACUCCGAUUGCGAAGGCAGCCUACUAAACUGCCACUGACAUUGAUGCUCGAAAGUGUGGGUAUCAAACAGGAUUAGAUACCCUAGUAGUC
Molecule: ribosomal RNA, 464 nt
Filed under: uncultured bacterium
Lineage: Bacteria
Description: partial 16S ribosomal RNA
Rfam family: Bacterial small subunit ribosomal RNA
Source: RNAcentral